This is a long non-coding RNA of Callithrix jacchus (white-tufted-ear marmoset), 4187 nucleotides long. Lineage: Eukaryota; Metazoa; Chordata; Mammalia; Primates; Cebidae. The record is from Ensembl.
GUUGGGUAGAAAUGCUAGUACAGCUGAGGUUGAGAAACACCAGAGAGAAACCCAGCCUUUAUGAAAACCCACUGCUGGAAGGAAAGAAGCAGAGGAAACCAAGGCUCUCCCCACCUCUGGCUGCCGGUGCCUCACUCUGCCUGGAACCCUGGAACAGGACCUGGGUGUCCAGUCCCCCUGGCACUUCUUUGGCAUGUUUUUACCCAGAAUGUGGCCCUCACCAGAAACCAAGCAGAUGCUAUGCCUGCUUCUCCUGCUUCCAGCCUGCAGAACUGAAUUUAUAUGUGGGGAAAUCUUACCAAAAAAGAUGACCAGAUGAAAAGUGAGGCCUUGGAAACAAUCUACAUCAGGAGUUGGCAAACUAUGGCCCACAGCUCACAGCUGGCCUGAUGGCGGGUGUGCAAAUAAAGACUUAUUGGAACACAGCCACGUGCUCACACAUAUCGCCUAUGGCUUUUUUGCACUCCAACAGCAGAAGGCAGGAGUUGAUGGAGACUGAAUGCUUCAUACAUUCUAAAAUGUUUACUAUCAGGCCCUUUGCAAAACACAUGUGCUGACCCCUGGUGUAGAUAAUGGGCCAACUCUCAGGUUGAAGUCAGGGGGAAGCACUGGACAGAUGUCUAUGCCUGCAUGAAGCCUCAGGGUGCCAAGGACACUGCGGAGUCCCAGGGUCACACUAAGAAGACAGAGAUGGAGAGAAGCCACCCAGUGCUUACAGCCUUUCUUCUCCUGGACAAAACAUUGACAGCUUCCUGGACUACAGGGAAAAUGUUGGCAUCCAGGGCCCAGCAGGGAGUGAUCCUUCAGGAACCCCACACUUCAGGUUGGAAAACCAGAAAUCCUGCUGGUACAGGGCAACUGGAAGUAGAGUCUGACGUGGUAACCAACACCUAGCUGUGAUUCUACUCAACCCCUGAAAGUGAAUUAUUAUGGCUCCUGGCACCUGACAGCAAAAUACAUUCUAGGAGACAACAAUAAAAUCCUAGGAUUUAAAUUAUUUAAAUAUAACAUCUUCCAUGCAAUAAAAAAAAGAGCCACUUUAUGUUCUGUUUGUGUUAGUUUAGUGGAUAUUGGGCUAAUUCUACUGACAUAAACAAACACAAAAGCUGAGAAAAAUGUGCAAAGCAACUCUUGGCAAGCAUUUGACAAUAAAUGUAGAGCUAUGAUCCUCAAGAGAAGAGAGUGCACACACGAGCCUCACAUUCAUCCCAGCUUUUUCCUUCUAAAUCUCAGCACAGGGAAAAGGGACCCAAGUAGAGACCAGUAGUCUCUUUGGGCAGAGGAAGCAAAGCCUGAAAUUCAAGAAUGCUAAGGUGAUGGGGAUUUGAGAGUAGGAAGCUGCAAUGAAGUGGGCCCGAAAGUCUGUGUAAAAACUCCCCUGAUACAUCUGGCUUACUCUAAGCAACAGGUGCACAAGGAAAGAGUCUGAGAAUCCUCUAAGAAAACAGCCAGGGGAGGUUGACACUGAGAAAACAGCUAGAAGAGGCUCACUGCAACCUCUGCCUCCUGGGUUCAAGCUAUUCUACUGCCUCAGACUCCUGAGUAGCUGGGAUUACUGAGCAGAGAUUUCAGAGCUCACCAAAUAGUGUGAAGACAUGGUAAUUUGCUCCCAGCCAGACUAGAGAAACUUUUUAAUCCUGCUGGAAUCCAGUUGAGACCCCAGAAAGGCCAUGCCCUAAGAGUAAGGAGCACUCCCUAGCAGUGAGCUCCCUGUAGUAGGGGUAAGGGCAAACCUGAAAUUGUCAUAUGUAGCAGUAUAAUGGGGUUUGCAAUAUCUAAAGCCAGGUCUCAAGAAAAAAGAUUAAAAAAGAAUUUUAGACUGGAUUGGAGCUGGGAAAAUUAGUAAAAUUAGGAUUCAUAAGACUGUAUAGAAAACUGGAGAUUUUAAAGUAGGUUAAAAAAAAUAAUGAAUAGGUGUUAAAUUUCAACAAAUGCCUUUUCUAUACCUGAUAUGUCUGGCCCCACAUUAGAGACUUACUUUUCCCCGUGAAUACCCUCUAAGGAAAGUAACCUCAGGAGCUGCCCAAUUUCUCUCCUGCAGCCCCCAGAAACAGCGCUUCACUGUAGGUGGCCAGUGUAUCCUCUGAAUCAGCGUCCAAUAUAUGGUACUGUUUUUUCCAUAGCCAGGAUUCAUGGGUCCAGGAAUCAAGGUGUGGAAGUGGAAGUGGCACCACUCACCAUCACCCCUAGUGACCCACUAGCAAAACUUUUGCUUCCUGUUCCCAUGGCAUUACGUUCUGCUGGUCUAGAGGUCUUAGUUCCAGAAGGAGGAAUGCUGCCACCAGGAGACACAACAAUGAUUCCAUUAAACUGGAAGUUAAGAUGCCACUUGGACAUUUUGGGAUCUUCCUAUCUUUAGGCCGACAGGCUGACUGUGUUGGCUGGGGUGAAUGACCCAGACUGUCAAGAUUAAAUCAGUCUACUACUCCACAACAGAGGUAAGAAAGAGUAUCCAUGGAAUGCAGGAGAUCCAUUAGGGAGUCUCUCAGUAUUGCCAUGCCCUGUGAUUAAGGUCAAUCAAAAACUACAGCAGCCCAAUCCAGGCAGAACAACAUACGGCCCACAUCCUUCAGGAAUGAACGUUUGGGUCACUUCACUGGGAAAAAAUACACAACCUGCUGAUGUGCUUGCUGAAAGCAAAGGGAAUAAAAAAUGGGUAGUAGAAGAAGGUAGUCAUCAGUACCAGCUAGGACCACGUGAUCAGCGGCAGAAACAAGGGCUAUAACAGUCAUGAGUAUGUCCUCCUUCUUUUGUUAAAAACAUGUUUGUGCAUGAAUACACUUGUAGUAGGAAAAUAGCUUCAUUUUAUUUUCUUUCUUCUUUAUUGUGUGACAUAACAUUUAUUGACUUCACAUCAGCAUUUAAGUAUUGUGAACCUUAUGUAAUAAUAUUUGGUCUUGGGAUUGGUGCAUUUCCGGUUGUAGAAAAGAGAGUUGUAUUAUGUUAGGUGUAAUUAUGACCUUAUUAUUGUCUUUCUUUGAAGAUUAUGAUCUCGUGAGAGGUGUAUGCGUUCAAGUUGAGAAAGGGCAGACUUGUGAUGGUCAAUACUGAGUGUCAACUUGAUUGGAUUAAAGAAUGUGAAGUAUUGAUCCUGGGCGUGUCUGUGAGGGUGUUGCCAAAGGAGAUUAACACUUGAGUCAGUGAGCUGGGAAAGGCGGACUCGCUCUCAAUCUGGGUGGGCACCAUCUAAUCAGCUGCCAUUGCAGCUUGAAUAUAAAGCAGAUAAAAAAAUGUGAAAAGAUGAAACUGGCCUCGCCUCCCAGUCUACAUCUUUCACCCGUGCUGAUGCUUUCUGCCCUCAAACAUCAGACUCCAAGUUCUUCAGUUUUGGGACUCAGAUUGGCUCUCCUUGCUCCUCAGCUUGCAGAUGGCCUAUUGUGGGACCUUGUGAUCAUGUGAGUUAAUACUUAAUAAACUCCCCUGUAUAUAUAUAUCUAUCCUAUUAGUUCUGUCCCUCUAGAGAACCUUGACUAAUACCACUAUCUUAAACACUGUUGCUUUACUUUCUCUUUUUUUUUUACAAAAAGUUUGGAAAUAUGGUUAUAUAUUUGUAUCCCUCUAUUUCUCCUAGAUGAAUGGAAGAUUACUAUACAUGCUCUUCUUUACUUGCUUUUUUCUCUUAAAUAUAAAAUUUAGUUAAAUAAUUACUUCAAAUGAAAAUUUUAAACUUCAAUUAAAAAUGUUUCCAAAAUCACUUAAUAACAAUAUAUAAAAAACAGGUGCUAAAUACUUGGUACUUGUGGACAUAAAGAUGAAAAUAAUAGAGGCUGGAACUACUAGAGGAGGAGGAACGGAGAGGGCAAGGGAUGAAAAACUAACUAUUGGGUACUAUGCUCACUGCUGAAUGACAGAAUCAUUUGUAUCCCAAACCUCAGCAUCACACAAUAUACCCAUGUAACAAACCAGCACAUGUACCCCGAAUCUAAAAUAAAAGUGGAAAUUAUUUUUAAAACAUUUAAAAUCCAAAUAUAUGAAGAUAUUUCUCAUUUCUUUUUUAUAGCUGUUUUGUCUUCCUUGUGUAGUACAUCAUAAAUACUUGAUACUCACAAAAUUAAUCAAUUAAAAUUUCAGGUACAGAGAGAUUAAGUAGCUUGACCAAGAGCUCACUGAUGAAUUCAAUAGGGAUUUGUUUAAUAUUAUUAUGAAAAUUAAAUCACAUCUACUGUAGUAGACUGAGUUUUUAUUAU